AGAGUUUGAUCCUGGCUCAGAGUGAACGCUGGCGGCAUGCCUAACACAUGCAAGUCGAACGGUAACAGGCCCGCAAGGGUGCUGACGAGUGGCGGACGGGGUGAGGAACACAUCGGAAUUUGCCCAGUCGUGGGGGAUAACGUAGGGAAACUUACGCUAAUACCGCAUACGACCGAAAGGUGAAAGCGGGGGAUCGCAAGACCUCGCGCGGAUGGAUAAGCCGAUGUCGGAUUAGCUAGUUGGUGGGGUAAAGGCCUACCAAGGCGACGAUCCGUAGCUGGUCUGAGAGGAUGAUCAGCCACACUGGGACUGAGACACGGCCCAGACUCCUACGGGAGGCAGCAGUGGGGAAUAUUGGACAAUGGGGGCAACCCUGAUCCAGCAAUGCCGCGUGUGUGAAGAAGGCCUUCGGGUUGUAAAGCACUUUUAUCCGGAACGAAACGCGCAGGGUGAAUAUCCUUGCGAACUGACGGUACCGGAGGAAUAAGCACCGGCUAACUUCGUGCCAGCAGCCGCGGUAAUACGAAGGGUGCAAGCGUUACUCGGAAUUACUGGGCGUAAAGGGUGCGUAGGUGGUUUUUUAAGUCCGUUGUGAAAUCCCUGGGCUCAACCUGGGAAUGGCAGUGGAUACUGGAAAGCUAGAGUGCGGUAGAGGGUAGUGGAAUUCCCGGUGUAGCAGUGAAAUGCGUAGAGAUCGGGAGGAACACCAGUGGCGAAGGCGGCUACCUGGACCAGCACUGACACUGAGGCACGAAAGCGUGGGGAGCAAACAGGAUUAGAUACCCUAGUAGUCC
RNAcentral lists this ribosomal RNA (794 nucleotides) under uncultured bacterium. RNAcentral describes it as "bacterial SSU rRNA". It matches the Rfam family "Bacterial small subunit ribosomal RNA", at positions 8 to 796 of the family's 1533-position model. The record is from RNAcentral.